GGAAGAGCUCUCCUCUUUGGUAAUUAUACAUUUUAUUUUGGGAGGACUCAUCAUAUUGCUUCUUAUGGUGGCUGUACCAUUUUACACUGCCAUCAACAGGGCGCAAGGGUUUUGAUUUCUCCACAUUGUUUUUUGAAAAAAAAAUAUAUAUGUAUAUGUAUAUAUAUACACACACACACACACACACAAACUUGGCUAUCUGUAUUGAAACAUCUCCUUCAUUGUUGUUUUCCCCUAUCUUUUAUGGCACUGUGAUUUGCAGUCCUGGUGUUUUGGAAUCUUUGGGGAGCAAAGUUUAUAUGGGCAUUUCUCAGUGUAGAGCUGCAUCGUCAUUCUUCAUUUAAUUAUUUUUUUAUCUCUCAUUGCUCUUUAUAAUUCCAAACCCCAACACCCACAUAUACACAAUAAGCACCAUAAAAUUAUACAUUGAUUUCUGGGAGAGGCUCCUGUAGGAGAUAGAGAAUUUCUCUACUAUCGUCUAGGGACACUUUGUGGCCUACUAACCUCAGCCCUGAGUGGAAGAAGUAUAGGCUGUAGGUCUCAGACUCCAUCAAGCUUUCUCCUUCCUCACUCCCCAGGAGAAACGCACCUUCUUCUGCAGGUCAGGUAAGUGAGGGAUAAGUGUCUCUGUUAUGCACUGAACCCUUCAACCACUAGGUCUAGCAGGGCCCCCACAGUUCUUGGGCACUGAAACUGGGCAGUGUUGGACCUUUCAGCCUGGUCUGAAAUUCUAAACCAAGAGAAAAUCUUUCCUUACCAUUUGGCACUAUGAUAGGAAGCCCUAGUCCAGCAAUAUUCUACUGGGGAAUGCCAGUUUGCCCAGGCUUGAAAAAACCGGAAGGAGAGAGCACCAGUCAGCCAGGACACAGUGGUGGACUUGCGGAGCUGAAUUGUGGCAGGCUAACACCUGUUGUUUCCUAGGCUCUUGCUGGGGCAGUAGAAGUGGAGCUGAGUCAAAGGGCAGUGGGUGUAUGAAGGACUCAGCUGCCCAGGCCCCAGCUUUGUGAACACAGAGGCCAGUGUCACUUGCAGCCUCAGGAGCACCCACCCACAGCAAGCUGCCUUUGACUCAUAGGAGCCUGCUAUCUAUGUAUGUGGGCUUUAUUUUCCAAAAUCUGACAUUUAAAAUGCAUUUGGGCAUAACAUGGGGUUAUAAAGCACAUUUUCUCUGUUAGGCCAUUUGGUGGUGAACUUCUUGGCAAUAUUAAUACUUCACAUCAUAGCUUUCUGGUACAAUAGCUGAAUUACUGUAAUAAAGGAAAAGAAAGAAAUUCUCAGUAUGAUCAUUAGUAGUUGCCUAUUUGUAACCAUAUCUACUGCUGGAGUUCUACUUUAUGCUUUAGUUCAAAACACACAAAACAUCAACAAAUAAAUUUUUUUAUAGUCAAUUUGAGUCUAAGAAUACUGUCUGAGUAGUCCAAGCAAGAAGCUAACUACAAAGUGUAUGGUUUUAUGACUUUAGUAUUGAUUUAUAAUUUAAGUAUCAGACAAAAAAAUACAACUAUGAAAUAACCAUAAUACAAAACUACCACUUAUUUAUUCAGUUUUGAAAAACUUUGUUUCUUGGAAAGCCCCAUGGCUUUAGCAUUUGAAAGAUCGGUCAUACCUUCCCCCCACCAAUAAGUUCACACAUGGACGUUCACACAUGGAAAGACAAUGGAAUUAACAUGGAAAAGUUUUCAUUUUAUGGCUAAUGAAUUUGUAACAUGCUAAUUUCAAUUUUUUUCACAAUUUACUUAUUUUUAAAUAAUACAUUUUAUUGUGGUAAAUACACAUAGCAUAACUUUGCCAUCUUAACCAAUUUUAAGUUACACGGUAUUAAGCAUAUUCAUAUUGUUGUGCAGCCACCACGACUGUACCAUUCUUUUCAUCUUGCAAAAAUGAAAUUUCAUACACAUUAAACAAUAUCUUCCUAUAUCCCCUGUGGCUCAGAGGUACAAGGAAAGAUGCUCAGUAUCACCAAUCAACAGGGAAAUGAAAAUUCAAACCAUUGAGAUACCACUUCACAUUCAUUAGGAUGACUAUUAUUUAAAAAAUAAAAACAAAAACAAAACAGCAGGAAAGAACAUUGUUACCUAGGAGUAUUUUACCUAAUUUUAAUUUUGCAAUGACUCUUUCUUUCUCCCUCCCUCCCUUUCUUUAUUUCUUUCUCUUUCUUUUCUUUUUCUUUACAUUCUUGUUUCCAUAAACUAUCUGGGUUUCUAUACCUUACAUAUAAUGAUGCAUAGAGACAACAAUCAAAUAUUGGUUGUCUUUCUAAGUUUGUAAAAGGAAACAAAAAAUGUGUAAAGGGAUCUUCAGCAAAUGUCUCUGUAUACUAUUCGGCAAAAUUUUUAAUAUGGAUCUGUCACAGAAGCUGCUCCAAGAUGGGGUGCACUCCUGCUUGGCUCUGCUUGUUGCAUUGAGUUCACAGUGACAUCUUUUGGUCAUUUCCAAAAUUGCAAUUGGAAAAUUGAAGUUGCUUAACUUGAUCAACAAAAGAUAUUUGAGGUGAGGGUAUUUUCACCUCAAAGAGAAGAGGGCAUCUACUCCUCCCUGCCCCUUAGGUGUAUUUCUAGGUGAUUAGGAACUUCAUGGAGGUUUCAGGACUCCAAGAUGUGGUGCUUUUUCAUACAAUUCCCCUAAUAAAUAGAUCCCAUUGCUGGUCAGAAGGAAAAAUCCUGUCUCACCCAUGAGGUGGAUCCCAUAAAGGAUAUUCAUCCCAGCACCUCAAAUACCCUGACAGUGAUCAGGGCUUGGGUCUCAUUAAGAUUUCUAAAAGAGUGUAAUGAUUUUUGGAUUCAUGUUUCUCAAUUUAAAAGAAUGUCAAAAUCCUCCUGGGAAGUUACUCCUAUUGAUGAUUUAACACUCAAAAUCAAGAAGUUGUAGAUAUCUACCAUGGUCAGCUUACAAACCCAAGGUUCUGGACCAAGCCAGGAUAUUUUGACUGAUUUAGAGACUAAUCUAAUCCCUAGUAACACUACAAGUUACUUGAUGACUUCUUCUGAUAAUCCUUAUUUCAUAUUCUCUGUAAGCAUAAUCAAUCAUAUACGCUCAACGGCUGUAACUUCUUCAGUUAAUAUCCUUAUUUUAUGUGUCCUUAUGCUAAUUUUUAGCUACCAAAAGUAAUUUUUGUUCUUAUGAAUAUUAAUAAUUUUGAACACAUUGCACCCAAAAGGCUACUUUCCCUAUGUUUUAGAUUGCUUACUCAACAUCAUUAUUAUCCUAACUGCUAGAACCCACAAGAGCCCAUAUAUAACUGUACCCAAACUUGGAAAGAUCAUGCUUUAAUUAAGUUGUCCCAAAGUGUCAUAAAAUUAGCAAUGGUUUUAACCAACUGUUGGAUAUGUCACCUGAUUUCAUAAUAGAUCCAUGACCAACGCAUGCCCUUAAUUAUUCCUAUAAGCAAUUUCAAUGCCAUCCCUACUGUCAUAAUCCAUGAAGAUCUUCCCCUUUCAGAUCUUACCUUCUAAAUAAAAGUUGUUCACCAGAUAAAUGUUGCUAUUCUAAUUUAAAACUAUGCACCAGGAUCUCCAUGAUCUAUUCCCAACUUUAUAGAUAGGUGUCUCACCCAGAUUAACAAUAUGAGGCUAUGACAGACACUCCUUCAAAUUAAAUGUCAUUCAGUUGAUUUCUGUGGCCACACCCAUCCUUGCCUUGAUACAGUUUUCAUCCUCCUGGU
This 3661-nucleotide long non-coding RNA is filed under the name Marmota monax (woodchuck). The record is from RNAcentral. Lineage: Eukaryota; Metazoa; Chordata; Mammalia; Rodentia; Sciuridae.